This 294-nucleotide ribosomal RNA is filed under the name uncultured bacterium. Its description in RNAcentral is "partial 16S ribosomal RNA". It matches the Rfam family "Bacterial small subunit ribosomal RNA", at positions 335 to 628 of the family's 1533-position model. The record is from RNAcentral.
UACCUACGGGGGGCAGCAGUGAGGAAUAUUGGUCAAUGGUCGGGAGACUGAACCAGCCAAGCCGCGUGAGGGAUGAAGGUACAGAGUAUCGUAAACCUCUUUUGUCAGGGAACAAAGGCGGGGACGUGUCCCCGGAUGAGUGUACCUGAAGAAAAAGCAUCGGCUAACUCCGUGCCCGCAGCCGCGGUAAUACGGAGGAUGCGCGCGUUAUCCGGCUUUAUUUGGUUUUAAGGGUGCGCAUGCGGUCUGUUCAGUCCGCGUUCACAUCCCGUGGCUCCACCCCGGCCCGCCGUU